CGUAGGUGGCAAGCGUUGUCCGGAUUUAUUGGGUUUAAAGGGUGCGUAGGCGGUCUAUUAAGUCAGUGGUGAAAUACUCUAGCUCAACUAGAGGGGUGCCAUUGAUACUGAUGGACUUGAGUACAGAUGAGGUAGGCGGAAUUGACGGUGUAGCGGUGAAAUGCUUAGAUAUCGUCAAGAACACCUAUAGCGAAGGCAGCUUACUAGGCUGUAACUGACGCUGAGGCACGAAAGUGUGGGGAUCAAACAGGAUUAGAUACCCUGGUAGUCCACACUGUAAACGUUGAUUACUCGCUGUCGUGCGAUAUACAGUACGCGGCCAAGCGAAAGCGAUAAGUAAUCCACCUGGGGAGUACGCCGGCAACGGUG
This 369-nucleotide ribosomal RNA is filed under the name uncultured organism. RNAcentral describes it as "bacterial SSU rRNA". It matches the Rfam family "Bacterial small subunit ribosomal RNA", at positions 526 to 896 of the family's 1533-position model. The record is from RNAcentral.